CAGUAAGGAACCUUGCCAGCACAUUUUAAGGGCACUCAGCAGUGAAAACAUUAAGCCUGAGUGAAAAUUUGACUAGUUAAGGUUGAGCGGGCCGGUUAAUUUCGUGCCAGCCACCGCGGUUAUACGAGAGGCCCAAGUGGAUAGACUCCGGCAUAAAGUGUGGUUAAGGAUUAAACUAACUAAAGCCGAAUACUUUCAGAGCUGUUAUACGCAAAUGAAAGAUUGAAGCCCAACCACGAAAGUGGCUUUAACAGCCCUGACGCCACGGAAGCUACGGGACAAACUGGGAUUAGAUACCCCACUAUGCGUAGCCGUAAACAUUGAUAAUACCACAUAUUUAUUAUCCGCCCGGGAACUACGAGCGAAAGCUUAAAACCCAAUGGACUUGGCGGUGCUUUAGACCCCCCUAGAGGAGCCUGUUCU
This 423-nucleotide ribosomal RNA is filed under the name Cheilinus lunulatus (broomtail wrasse). RNAcentral's name for it is "partial 12S ribosomal RNA". It matches the Rfam family "Bacterial small subunit ribosomal RNA", at positions 430 to 945 of the family's 1533-position model. The record is from RNAcentral. Lineage: Eukaryota; Metazoa; Chordata; Actinopteri; Labriformes; Labridae.